CGUGUAGGCGGCUUGGUAAGUCGGAUGUGAAAGUCCCGGGCUCAACCCGGGAAGUGCAUUCGAAACUGCUAGGCUUGAGUAAGAGAGAGGAGAGUGGAAUUCCUGGUGUAGAGGUGAAAUUCGUAGAUAUCAGGAGGAACACCGGUGGCGAAGGCGACUUUCUGGCUCUAUACUGACGCUGAGACGCGAAAGCGUGGGUAGCAAACAGGAUUAGAUACCCUGGUAGUCC
Molecule: ribosomal RNA, 229 nt
Filed under: uncultured bacterium
Lineage: Bacteria
Description: partial 16S ribosomal RNA
Rfam family: Bacterial small subunit ribosomal RNA
Source: RNAcentral